Molecule: ribosomal RNA, 208 nt
Filed under: uncultured bacterium
Lineage: Bacteria
Description: partial 16S ribosomal RNA
Rfam family: Bacterial small subunit ribosomal RNA
Source: RNAcentral
UACGUAGGGCGCAAGCGUUGUCCGGAAUUAUUGGGCGUAAAGAGCUCGUAGGCGGUUUGUCGCGUCUGCUGUGAAAACCUAAGGCUCAACCUUGGGCUUGCAGUGGGGUACGGGCAGACUAGAGUGCGGUAGGGGGUGACUGGAAUCCUGGUGUAGCGGUGGAAUGCGCAGAUAUCAGGAGGAACAGCCGAGUGGCGAAAGGCAGGUC